UGCAAAUUGUAUGGCCCUGCAUGAACAAAAUGAUAAAGCAUGUUUGUAAAUGUCGGCUGUUUAGUGGACAGUCUGCAGAGAGGAGCUGCUGUGGAUUCCCAGGGCAGGGGAGCAGGGGCAGUUGAAAAGCAAUCGGAUAGCACAGAAGGGAACAGCUAGAGCAAGCUGGGGAGAAACAUGUCUCCUACAUCGUUUCUUGUAUUGAAAACAUCUGCUUUAAAUGGUAUUUGAUUUCUUUGGAAGCUCUCCUCAAACCUUGCUGCAAGUGACAAGAAAGGAGGCCUUACCUCAUUUAGAUGCUUCUGAAUUUCCCAUCUGUAAAAAUCUGGAGCUCUGAGUUCAAGAGAGGGGCACUGCAGAAUAAAUAAAUUAUUGCUAUCGAGAGAUUCUACCUCAGAUGGAUCUUCCAAGGAAGCAGCUAUUAAAGGAGAGCUGUUCCUCCAGAGAAUUUCCACUGAGAAGUGGUGACUAAUUCGAUCAUGAGGCAGGACAGUAUCUGAAAGAGAAGAAGAGUUACGAUCGCCGCUUUAAUAAUGGGAAGCUGGAGCUCAGCCAGUAGGACAAGUUUUGCAAAGCUCAUGCAGCCUGCCGUUCUCCCUGACCUCCUCAUGACUUGGCAAGAUCACCUAUGGGUAGAGAGUCCGCCUCCGUGAAAUCCUGAUGUGUUGGUUCAUCCAUAGGCACCCUUCAAAAUACACAUAUCUCAAAAAGCAGAACUUAGCUACAGCCUUGGAUACAGUCAGGUACCAAGAGAGAGGUUAGGACUCAGUUUAGGUUUCUCUCCUACAACCCCAGGGAACGUGGGGGCAUCAAAACAGGAAGAAGAGAGCAACUCUGGUCCUGUGGUGGUGGACUUGGUACUGCACAACUGCACUGCAGGCAAUAAACCAUUGUUCAUCUCAAUCUGUGGGGUAAUCCAUUGGUACCAAGUGGAAGGAAUCUACUGGCUGGGAAUGCACGAUGCUUUGGAAAUAAUUCCAACUGGAAGAAAGACAAGGAGCUAAUAUACUCCUAUAAACAUGCUGAAGUGAAAUUUAGGCUAAUAGUCAUCAGGAGGUCAGCUAACUUACUGUGUUUCUGGAGCUAAAGUAGACAAACCUCUUUCUGGUGUCUAAUACGUUUGAUUUCUUGCUUAUUGAUACUUGCUGACAGCAGCAGAACUGCAAUUGCGUGUGAGCAGACAUCACCUGCCAGAAGAGCUCUCCCAUCGCUCAGCCCAGAGUGCGAAGGGAGGGAGCUAUGCAUAAACAUACAGAAUUUAUGAACAGUUAGAAAAUCCUCAUUAUUAAUCAUUUCCGCAGUUAAAUAUCUCGCUGUAACUAAAGGCUGCAAAUGUCUUUGUUUCAAAGUGAGUUUAUCUGGAAUCUCCUUUUAAGUAGAUUUCUGCUGUCCAGGUAAUCUGGGGAUUAGUUCUGCAAAUUUACGUAGUGCUGAGAUGGUGGAGCUGCUUCUGUAGGAAGCUGGGGGAAAGGAGUAGGUUACUUUUGUUAGCUUCCACUGUCCCUGUAGGUUCCCAAUUUUGAUUUUUUUAUAAAUUUAUUCUUUUUAUGACUAAAAACCCGCAUUAGUGCUUUUAACAUACCAGUCUAGCUCAGUGUCUAACAAAUACAUCUGUAAAUUUUUUUUCUUUUUUUUUUUUUUUGCUGGGUAGUAAGAUAAUGUUAUGCGCUUGCAAUAUUGCCCAUCUGAAGCCCAGUUCACCUGGUAACCCUGGCUGCUGGGGGCUGCCUGUUGGAAUGGGCAUAACCAUUACACGAGACCAAAUUUGCCUGCCCACAAC
This is a non-coding RNA of Anas platyrhynchos (mallard), 1780 nucleotides long. The record is from RefSeq and is a predicted model, not a curated record. Lineage: Eukaryota; Metazoa; Chordata; Aves; Anseriformes; Anatidae.